UACGUAGGUGGCAAGCGUUGUCCGGAUUUACUGGGCGUAAAGAGCGCGCAGGCGGUCGUCCAAGUCGCGUGUGAAAGCCCCCGGCUCAACUGGGGAGGGGCAUUCGAUACUGAUCGACUCGAAGGCAGGAGAGGGUAGUGGAAUUCCCGGUGUAGUGGUGAAAUGCGUAGAUAUCGGGAGGAACACCAGUGGCGAAGGCGACUACCUGGCCUGUUCUUGACGCUGAGGCGCGAAAGCUAGGGGAGCAAACGGG
RNAcentral lists this ribosomal RNA (253 nucleotides) under uncultured bacterium. RNAcentral's name for it is "partial 16S ribosomal RNA". It matches the Rfam family "Bacterial small subunit ribosomal RNA", at positions 524 to 776 of the family's 1533-position model. The record is from RNAcentral.